AGAGUUUGAUCCUGGCUCAGAAUCAACGCUGGCGGCGUGCCUCAGACAUGCAAGUCGAACGAUUAAACUUUCCUUCGGGAAAGAUAUAAAGUGGCGCACGGGUGAGUAACACGUAGGUAAUGUGCCUUUGGGUGGGGAAUAACUUAGGGAAACUUAAGCUAAUACCGCAUAAUGCGAUAACUUCUUCGGAAGAUUUUGUUAAAGAUUUAUCGCCUGAAGAGCAGCCUGCGGCAGAUUAGCUAGUUGGUAAGGUAACGGCUUACCAAGGCGACGAUCUGUAUCCGACCUGAGAGGGUGGUCGGACACACUGACACUGAAUAACGGGUCAGACUCCUACGGGAGGCAGCAGUCGGGAAUUUUGGGCAAUGGGCGAAAGCCUGACCCAGCAACGCCGCGUGAAGGAUGAAGUCUUUCGGGAUGUAAACUUCGUAAGAAUAGGAAGAAUAAAUGACGGUACUAUUUGUAAGGUCCGGCUAACUACGUGCCAGCAGCCGCGGUAAUACGUAGGGACCAAGCGUUGUUCGGAUUUACUGGGCGUAAAGGGCGCGUAGGCGGCGUGUCAAGUCAAUUGUGAAAUCUCCGAGCUUAACUCGGAACGGUCAAUUGAUACUGAUGUGCUAGAGUGCAGAAGGGGCAAUCGGAAUUCUUGGUGUAGCGGUGAAAUGCGUAGAUAUCAAGAGGAACACCUGAGGUGAAGACGGGUUGCUGGGCUGACACUGACGCUGAGGCGCGAAAGCUAGGGUAGCAAACGGGAUUAGAUACCCCGGUAGUCCUAGCCCUAAACGAUGAAUACUUGGUGUCUGGAGUUUUAAUUCUCCGGGUGCCGUCGCUAACGUUUUUAGUA
RNAcentral lists this ribosomal RNA (844 nucleotides) under uncultured Acidobacteriota bacterium. Its description in RNAcentral is "bacterial SSU rRNA". It matches the Rfam family "Bacterial small subunit ribosomal RNA", at positions 8 to 866 of the family's 1533-position model. Lineage: Bacteria; Pseudomonadati; Acidobacteriota. The record is from RNAcentral.